Molecule: unclassified non-coding RNA, 279 nt
Filed under: Hevea brasiliensis (rubber tree)
Lineage: Eukaryota; Viridiplantae; Streptophyta; Magnoliopsida; Malpighiales; Euphorbiaceae
Source: RNAcentral
AAGAUUUAUACCACCUUUGGUUUCUUUAAAAAAAAGGGUUUAGUCCACAAAAAGAAUGACAAAAGGUUGCUUGUUAAAUUAAGAAAUGCAGUUUUUAAAACAUGGAUACACAAUCUAAAGUUUGUGUUUCACUAAGUUUCUAAUCAUAGUAUCAAUCAAUAUUCAGAUAAUUUGUUACAAAGAAUGUGCCCUAGCCUGACAAUCUAUGCUCUCAAGCACUGUCCUUUUUGACUGACAUUCUAUUUUCUUCCUUUCUUUUUUAUUUUCUUCUUAUUUUUA